AUUGAACGCUGGCGGCAUGCUUUACACAUGCAAGUCGAACGGCAGCGCGGACUUCUGCCUGGCGGCUAGUGUCGAACGGGUGAGUAAUACAUCGGGACGUGCCCAGCAGUGGGUGAGAGCUCGGCGGAGGCCGGGGUAAUACCGCAGACGAGCUGAAGGUGAAAGCGGGGGAGCUUGGGAGCUCUCGCUGUUGGAGCGGCCGAUGGCAGUUUGGCGAGUUUGUGGGGUAAAAGCCUACAAAGGGGACGAUCUGUAUCUGGUCUGAGAGGGCGAGGAGCGACACUGGGACUGAGACACGGCCCAGACUCCUACGGGAGGCACCAGUGGGGAAUUUUGGACAAUGGGCGAAAGCCUGCUCCAGCAAUGCCGCGUGUGUGAUGAGGGCCUUCGGGUUGUAAAGCACUUUUGGCGGGAACGAAACGGACUGCGCCAAUACCACGGUUCGAUGACGGUACCCGCAGAAUAAGCACCGGCUAACUACGUG
This 484-nucleotide ribosomal RNA is filed under the name uncultured bacterium. RNAcentral's name for it is "partial 16S ribosomal RNA". It matches the Rfam family "Bacterial small subunit ribosomal RNA", at positions 28 to 507 of the family's 1533-position model. The record is from RNAcentral.